Molecule: transfer RNA, 67 nt
Filed under: Thyonella gemmata
Lineage: Eukaryota; Metazoa; Echinodermata; Holothuroidea; Dendrochirotida; Cucumariidae
Description: tRNA-Thr
Source: RNAcentral
GCUAUAAGUACGAAUACAAAUAUAGUCUUGUAAACUAAAUUAGAAAGUUAGACCCUUUCAUAUAGCU